GAAAACUAAUAAAUCUUUACCCACAAGUUAUGUUAAAUAAUAAAAUAAAAUUAUCAUCCGACUCACUGUGAAAAAGAAAGGAUUGCAGUUCAAUGUGGUAUCUGGAUUAUGGAUUGUCUCUUGUGUUUGGGGCACUAACUAAUUUUCUGGAUUGUCUACAGGAUUCUUCUUACGGGAAAUUGAACUGCUUGUUCUUCGGAAAUAGGGUCUUGGAUGAUCUCGAAGAAGUAUCAGUAGUUCUCGGAAUAGGUUGUAGGAUGAUUCUCUUUUUAUUUUAAUAUCACAUACAUUGGAGUACACGCCAAAUUUCAACAAUGAGUAAAGUUA
Molecule: non-coding RNA, 327 nt
Organism: Onthophagus taurus
Lineage: Eukaryota; Metazoa; Arthropoda; Insecta; Coleoptera; Scarabaeidae
Source: RefSeq, a predicted model, not a curated record